This 512-nucleotide ribosomal RNA is filed under the name uncultured Planctomycetota bacterium. RNAcentral describes it as "bacterial SSU rRNA". It matches the Rfam family "Bacterial small subunit ribosomal RNA", at positions 369 to 896 of the family's 1533-position model. Lineage: Bacteria; Pseudomonadati; Planctomycetota. The record is from RNAcentral.
CAAUGGGCGCAAGCCUGAACGAGCGAUGCCGCGUGAGCGAUGAAGGCCUUCGGGUUGUAAAGCUCAAAAGGGGUGAGAAAGGGCAACUUGAUCGAACCCCAGUAAGCUCGGGCUAAGUUCGUGCCAGCAGCCGCGGUAAGACGAACCGAGCGAACGUUGUUCGGAAUCACUGGGCUUAAAGGGCGCGUAGGCGGGUGCUCAAGUCCGGGGUGAAAUCCCACAGCUCAACUGUGGAACUGCCUCGGAUACUGGGUGUCUCGAGGGUGGUAGGGGUAUGCGGAACUAUCGGUGGAGCGGUGAAAUGCGUUGAUAUCGAUAGGAACUCCGGUGGCGAAGGCGGCAUACUGGACCACUUCUGACGCUGAGGCGCGAAAGCCAGGGGAGCAAACGGGAUUAGAUACCCCGGUAGUCCUGGCCCUAAACGAUGGGAACUAGCUAGUAGGCUUCACAUGGGUUUACUGGCGAAGCAAAAGUGCUAAGUUCCCCGCCUGGGGAGUAUGGUCGCAAGGCUG